CUCCCGACUAGAUUUUAUUGCUAUGGUCAUUGUGAAAGAGGCUGUAACUUUUAUCUACAAAAUGGGAUCUGAUCAUUAUCUCACAGGUAAUAAAUUUUGAUUCAUUUGGGCACAAUAUUUUAAUUCUAGGUUUGGGUGCAUGGUAUGUAGAUGCUCCUCUAAAAACUCACUCAAAUUCCUUGAGAAAGUCAAUAUUGUCUACAAAAACCGUCUUCCAACCAUCAGGAUCUAAGCAUGCAGUUAUCUUGGUGUUGAUGCCAGGUAAUGGUCCUGGUUCCCGGGUGAUUUUCCCACCAAACAGUUUGAUUGCUUCUGCAGUUUUAUAGACAUCAUCCGUGCCUAUUGCAAUCUGAGCAUAAGCAUUUCCUUUGUCAUAUUCAGUGACCCC
Molecule: unclassified non-coding RNA, 388 nt
Filed under: Hevea brasiliensis (rubber tree)
Lineage: Eukaryota; Viridiplantae; Streptophyta; Magnoliopsida; Malpighiales; Euphorbiaceae
Source: RNAcentral